This 1496-nucleotide ribosomal RNA is filed under the name uncultured Bordetella sp. RNAcentral's name for it is "partial 16S-23S ribosomal RNA intergenic spacer". It matches the Rfam family "Bacterial small subunit ribosomal RNA". The record is from RNAcentral. Lineage: Bacteria; Pseudomonadati; Pseudomonadota; Betaproteobacteria; Burkholderiales; Alcaligenaceae.
AGUUUGAUUAUGGCCUGAUUGAACGCUGGCGUGGAUGCUUUACACAUGCAAGUCCAGCGAACGGCAGCACGGACUUCGGUCUGGUGGCGAGUGGCGAACGGGUGAGUAAUGUAUCGGAACGUGCCUAGUAGUGGGGGAUAACCACGCGAAAGCGUAGCUAAUACCGCAUACGCCCUUCGGGGAAAGCGGGGGACCAGCCUGCACUAUUAGGAGCGGCCGAUAUCGAUUACGGUUGGUGGGGUAACGGCUCACCAAGGCGACGAUCCGUAGCUGGUUUGAGAGGACGACCAGCCACACUGAGACUGAGACACGGCCCAGACUCCUACGGGAGGCAGCAGCGGGGAAUUUUGGAUAAUGAAGAAACUGAUUCAGCCAUCUUCCGGCAGGUGAUGAAGGGCUCUCGGGUUGUAAAGCACUUUGGCAGUGAAAGAACAUGGCACGGGAUAAUACCCCGUGCAACUGACGGGUACCUGCAGAAUAAGCACUGGCUAACUACGUGCCAGCAGCCGCGGUAAUACGUAGGGUGCAAGCGUUAAUCGGAAUUACUGGGCGUAAAAGCGUGCGCAGGCGGUUCGAAAGAAAGAUGGAAAUCCCAGAGCUUAACUUUGGAACUGCAUUUAAUCACCGAGCUAGAGUGUGUCAGAGGGAGGUGGAAUUCCGCGUGUAGCAGUGAAAUGCGUAGAUAUGUGAGAAUACCGAUGGCAAGGCAGCCUCGAUAACACUGACGCUCAUGCACGAAAGCGUGGGGAGCAAACAGGGAUUAGAUACUUCCUGGUAGGCUCAAUGCCCUAAACGAUGUCAACUGCUGGGGCCUUCGGGCUCUGGUAGCGCAGCUAACGUAAGAAGUUGACCGCCUGGGGAGUACGGUCGCAAGAUUAAAACUCAAAGGAAUUGACGGGGACUCCGCACAAGGAAAAAGAUGAUGUGGAUUAAUUCGAUGCAACGCGAAAACCUUACCUCACUCUUGACAUGUUCGGAAUCCUGAAGAGAUUUGGGAGUGCUCGCAAGAGAACCGAACACAGGUGCUGCAUGGCUGUCGUCAGCUCGUGUCGUGAGAUGUUGGGUUAAGUCCCGCAACGAGUGCAACCCUUGUCAUUAGUUGCUACGAAAGGGCACUCUAAUGAGACUGCCGGUGCAUAAACCGGAGGAAGGUGGGGAUGACGUCAAGUCCUCAUGGCCCUUAUGGGUAGGGCUUCACACGUCAUACAAUGGUCGGGACAGAGGGUCGCCAACCCGCGAGGGGGAGCCAAUCCCAGAACCCGAUCGUAGUCCGGAUCGCAGUCUGCAACUCGACUGCGUGAAGUCGGAAUCGCUAGUAAUCGCGGAUCAGCAUGUCGCGGUGAAUACGUUCCCUGAACUGUACCGCCCGUCACACCAUGGGAGUGGGUUUUACCAGAAGUAGUUAGCCUAACCGUAAGGAGGGCGAUUACCACGGUAGGAUUCAUGACUGGGGUGAAGUCGUAACAAGGCAGCUCUAGCCAUUACCUGAUGCUCCA